UACGAGGGGGGCAAAUGUUGUUCGGAAUCACUGGGCGUAAAGGGUGCGUAGGCGGGUCUUUAAGUCAGGGGUGAAAUCCUGGAGCUCAACUCCAGAACUGCCUUUGAUACUGAAGAUCUUGAGUUCGGGAGAGGUGAGUGGAACUGCGAGUGUAGAGGUGAAAUUCGUAGAUAUUCGCAAGAACACCAGUGGCGAAGGCGGCUCACUGGCCCGAUACUGACGCUGUGGCGCGAAAGCUAGGGGAGCGAACGGG
Molecule: ribosomal RNA, 253 nt
Filed under: uncultured bacterium
Lineage: Bacteria
Description: partial 16S ribosomal RNA
Rfam family: Bacterial small subunit ribosomal RNA
Source: RNAcentral